Molecule: transfer RNA, 74 nt
Filed under: Planctomycetota bacterium
Lineage: Bacteria; Pseudomonadati; Planctomycetota
Also listed under: 2 other names
Description: tRNA-Arg
Rfam family: tRNA
About the family: Transfer RNA (tRNA) molecules are approximately 80 nucleotides in length. Their secondary structure includes four short double-helical elements and three loops (D, anti-codon, and T loops).
Source: RNAcentral
GCGCCCGUAGCUCAGUCGGAUAGAGCACCGGUUUCCUAAACCGGGGGUCGGAGGUUCGAGUCCUCCCGGGCGCG